This 192-nucleotide microRNA precursor is filed under the name Oryza brachyantha (malo sina). Its description in RNAcentral is "MIR812 microRNA precursor family". It matches the Rfam family "MIR812 microRNA precursor family". Lineage: Eukaryota; Viridiplantae; Streptophyta; Magnoliopsida; Poales; Poaceae. The record is from Rfam by way of RNAcentral.
AAUAAACCAAUUUUUUAUUUUUUACCUAUAAUUUUGACUCUUCGUUUUAUUCAAAUUUUUUUGCGAUUGAUAUUUUUAUUUUUAUUAGAUGAUAAAUCAUGAAUAGUACUUUAUGUGUGACUAAUUUUUUUCUAAUUUCCUAAAAAUUUUCAAAUACGACGGAUGGUCAAACAUUGGACACGAAAACCGAAG